This 75-nucleotide transfer RNA is filed under the name compost metagenome. RNAcentral describes it as "tRNA-Glu". It matches the Rfam family "tRNA". From Rfam's summary of the family: Transfer RNA (tRNA) molecules are approximately 80 nucleotides in length. Their secondary structure includes four short double-helical elements and three loops (D, anti-codon, and T loops). Further hydrogen bonds mediate the characteristic L-shaped molecular structure. tRNAs have two regions of fundamental functional importance: the anti-codon, which is responsible for specific mRNA codon recognition, and the 3' end, to which the tRNAs corresponding amino acid is attached (by aminoacyl-tRNA synthetases). tRNAs cope with the degeneracy of the genetic code in two manners: having more than one tRNA (with a specific anti-codon) for a particular amino acid; and 'wobble' base-pairing, i.e. permitting non-standard base-pairing at the 3rd anti-codon position. The record is from RNAcentral.
GGCGGGUUCGUCUAUCGGUUAGGACACGGCCCUCUCAAGGCUGAAAGACGGGUUCGAUUCCCGUACGCGCUACCA